Molecule: ribosomal RNA, 502 nt
Filed under: uncultured bacterium
Lineage: Bacteria
Description: bacterial SSU rRNA
Rfam family: Bacterial small subunit ribosomal RNA
Source: RNAcentral
GACGAACGCUGGCGGCGUGGAUUAGGCAUGCAAGUCGAACGGUAUCAUCCUUUCGGGGGUGAGAGAGUGGCGAACUGGUGAGUAACACGUAGGUUAUCUACCCUCAAGACGGGGACAACCCAGGGAAACUUGGGCUAAUACCGGAUGUGAGCAACUUUUAGUUGUUUGAAAGGUGGCGUAAGCUGUCGCUUGGGGAUGAGCCUGCGUCCUAUUAGUUAGUUGGUGAGGUAACGGCUCACCUAGGCAAUGAUAGGUAGGCGGCCUUAACGGGUGGUCGCCCACACUGGGAUUGAGAUACGGCCCAGACUCCUACGGGAGGCAGCAGUCGAGAAUAGUCUACAAUGGUCGGAAGACUGAUAGUGCGACGCCGCGUGAACGAUGAAUCCCUUCGGGUGUAAAGUUCUUUUAUAUGUGAGCAGUGCUUCUUAUAUUAACAGUAUGGGGAGAGAGAUAUUAGCAUAUGAAUAAGCAACGGCUAACUCCGUGCCAGCAGCCGCGGUAA